ACUCAAAGGCAUCAUCAGACAUGGCCCCAAAUUCGAACUGACAUUUUGACAAAGCCUAUUGAUCUGCUGAUGCUCAACAGACUACGGGAGUCCUAUUGUGAGAUCAAGGAGGGAGAGGUUGAUGCUUUAGCUGUAGUUCACUCUUAUGAGGAGGGUGUACCAGCUGGAUCCCAUAAGACUAGGCUAACUGCUCUUAAUGUACCACCUAUGGGUCUGUUCUACCCAAUGCUGUUGGUUCCAGAAGUAUAUUCUCCACCACCCCGAUCUUGGUUCCAUGAUUAUGAGGAUAUGUUGGAAGAUACAUGGCAUAUAGAAUAUCCUAGAAGACCUGAUAUGCCUGAUGGUCUAUUUCCUGGCAUUAAUGUUGGAUUAUCCAUGUGGGAUAGCUAUCCAGUUUUCCCUUCUAGGCCUAACAAAGAAGAAAAGGUUGGUCUUGCAGAGGCUAUCACCAGCAGCAUUCUUUCAACAGGUCGUAUAGACCUCAAGAGAAAAUUAUUUUGUAGCAUACAAUUGAUUGGUGGAGUGGCUUUGACACCUGGUCUUACUCCUGUGGUGGAGGAGAGAGUUUUACAUGCAAUCCCUUCAAAUGAAGCAAUUGAUACAGUUGAGGUUCUGCAGUCAAGAACAAAUCCAACCUUCGUGUCCUGGAAAGGCGGAGCUAUUCUUGGAAUUCUUGAUUUUGGUCGGGAUGCUUGGAUACACAGGGAGGAUUGGAUUCGCAAUGGGAUUCACGUAGGGAGUGGGAGAAAAUAUAAGGACUCUUACUAUCUUCAAGCACAAGCGAUGUGUUAUAUAAAUUCCUAAAGGAGACUGGAAGUAAUGCGGC
Molecule: unclassified non-coding RNA, 826 nt
Filed under: Hevea brasiliensis (rubber tree)
Lineage: Eukaryota; Viridiplantae; Streptophyta; Magnoliopsida; Malpighiales; Euphorbiaceae
Source: RNAcentral